GUCAUCUCUACUUUUUAAUCAGUCACCUGUAGUCACUUUAAAAUAAAGCAGUCCGGGUUCUUUUAUUUUAACCCUGCAAUGUAAAACAUUACCGUUUUUUAGAAACGGAUAGAUUUGUUAAGGGGUAAAGUACGUGUAUGUUUGCCUAGACUCUCUACACAUGCAAUUCAAGAUCUGAUUUAGAUCUUACAACUUACAUGCU
Molecule: non-coding RNA, 202 nt
Organism: Pelobates cultripes (western spadefoot toad)
Lineage: Eukaryota; Metazoa; Chordata; Amphibia; Anura; Pelobatidae
Source: the annotation of a GenBank genome assembly